This is a long non-coding RNA of Dipodomys spectabilis (banner-tailed kangaroo rat), 214 nucleotides long. RefSeq lists it as uncharacterized. The transcript is spliced from 3 exons. The record is from RefSeq and is a predicted model, not a curated record. Lineage: Eukaryota; Metazoa; Chordata; Mammalia; Rodentia; Heteromyidae.
UUUAGAGUUUACACAUUAGAGGAAUUAGAGCAGCAAAAUUACAGGAGACAACUGAAUCUAGUUUAAACUGAAAUUUCGUUUACUCCUUGUUUUUGGCUAUCACAAUGAGGCAAUUUUAAAAUACUAAGUUUCGAAGACUAAAAUCAUGUGAUUUAACACACUGUAGUCAUAAAAAUCCCCUAUUAUAACCUCACAAUGUAAAAGUCUCCUUUUC